UGCCUACUGUGUAAAAGACACUGCUACAGUUUAUUCCUGCGGGUGUAUUCAAAGGGCAGUGCAACAGAAAUUCACCGUGUGACAUCAUUGGUUUUCUUGUGGUUGUCAAACCUGAUAUUUCUAAUUAUACAGUC
This 134-nucleotide small nucleolar RNA is filed under the name Chinchilla lanigera (long-tailed chinchilla). RNAcentral's name for it is "Small nucleolar RNA SNORA8 (ENSCLAG00000018307.1)". It matches the Rfam family "Small nucleolar RNA SNORA8". Rfam says of the family: ACA8 is a member of the H/ACA class of snoRNA that guide the sites of modification of uridines to pseudouridines. Lineage: Eukaryota; Metazoa; Chordata; Mammalia; Rodentia; Chinchillidae. The record is from Rfam by way of RNAcentral.